GGGGCUGUGGCUCAAAGGCAGAGAAUUUGCUUGGCAUUCAGAAGGUCCCAUGUUCAAUUCCUGACAUCCCCA
RNAcentral lists this transfer RNA (72 nucleotides) under Sphaerodactylus townsendi. RNAcentral's name for it is "tRNA-Ala". It matches the Rfam family "tRNA". Rfam says of the family: Transfer RNA (tRNA) molecules are approximately 80 nucleotides in length. Their secondary structure includes four short double-helical elements and three loops (D, anti-codon, and T loops). Lineage: Eukaryota; Metazoa; Chordata; Lepidosauria; Squamata; Sphaerodactylidae. The record is from RNAcentral.